This 245-nucleotide ribosomal RNA is filed under the name uncultured bacterium. RNAcentral's name for it is "partial small subunit ribosomal RNA". It matches the Rfam family "Bacterial small subunit ribosomal RNA", at positions 26 to 285 of the family's 1533-position model. The record is from RNAcentral.
AGAAUCAACGCUGGCGGCGUGCCUAACACAUGCAAGUCGCACGAGAAAGGGGAGCAAUCCCUGAGUAAAGUGGCGCACGGGUGAGUAACACGUGAAUCAUCUACCUUCGAGUGGGGAAUAACUGGAAGAAAUUUCAGCUAAUACCGCAUAAUACCUACGGGUCAAAGCAGUAAUGCGCUUGAAGAGGAGUUCGCGGCAGAUUAGUUAGUUGGCGGGGUAAUGGCCCACCAAGACGAUGAUCUGUA